UGGGGGAUAUUGCACAAUGGGCGAAAGCCUGAUGCAGCGACGCCGCGUGGGGGAUGAAGGCCUUCGGGUUGUAAACUUCUGUUGCUCUGAACAAGGCUCACCAUGAGGUGUGUUGAGUGUAGGGGUUGAUUAGCGCCGGCUAACUACGUGCCAGCAGCCGCGGUAAUACGUAGGGCGCGAGCGUUGUCCGGAAUUAUUGGGCGUAAAGGGCUUGUAGGUGGCUGGUUGCGUCUGUCGUGAAAGCUCAUGGCUUAACUGUGGGUUUGCUGUGGGUACGGGCUGGCUUGAGUGCAGUAGGGGAGGCUGGAAUUCCUGGUGUAGCGGUGGAAUGCGCCGAUAUCAGGAGGAAUACCGGUGGCGAAGGCGGGUCUCUGGGCUGUUACUGACACUGAGGAGCGAAAGCAUGGGGAGCGAACAGG
Molecule: ribosomal RNA, 419 nt
Filed under: bacterium
Lineage: Bacteria
Description: partial 16S ribosomal RNA
Rfam family: Bacterial small subunit ribosomal RNA
Source: RNAcentral